GACGAACGCUGGCGGCGUGCUUAACACAUGCAAGUCGAACGGAAAGGCCCUGCUUUUGUGGGGUGCUCGAGUGGCAAACGGGUGUGUCACACGUGAGUACCCUGCCCUACACUUUGGUAUAACUUCAGGAAACUGGGGCUAAUACCGGAUAGGAGAUCCUGCUGCAUGGUGGGGGUUGGAAAGUUUGGGCGGGUGGGGAUGGACUGCCGGCUUGUCAGUUUGUUGGGGGGGUAGUGGCUUACGAGGGCUUGGAUGGGUGGCCGGCCGGGGUGGGUGACCGGCCACAUUGGGACUGGGAUCCGGCCCGGACUCCUACGGGAGGCAGCGGUGGGGAAUUUUGAACAAUGGGGGGAGGCCGGUGGCAGGAACCCCGCGUGCGGGAUGACGGCUUUCGGGUGUUAACCCGCUUUCGCCUGGGACGAGGCGUUAGUGACGGUAAUGGGUAAAGAAGCACCGGCUAACUACGUG
Molecule: ribosomal RNA, 468 nt
Filed under: uncultured bacterium
Lineage: Bacteria
Description: partial 16S ribosomal RNA
Rfam family: Bacterial small subunit ribosomal RNA
Source: RNAcentral